CGCCUGUUUUAACAAAAACAUGUCCUUUUGGGUGAAUAUGAGGUCUGACCUGCCCACUGAUGUUUGAAUGGCCGCAGUAUUUUAACUGUGCAAAGGUAGCAUAAUCAUUAGUCUUUUAAUUGAAGGCUGGUAUGAAUGGUUGGACGAGAUACUAUCUGUUUCAUGUAGAGUUAGAUUAGAAUUUUAUUUUUCAGUAAAAAAGCUGAAAUGGUUUUUAAAGACGAGAAGACCCUAUAAAUCUUUAUAGUUGAUUUGUUAUAAUUUUUUAGAUGGGUUGUAUUAUGACAGUUGAUACUAUUUUAUUGGGGUGAUAUUAAAAUUUAAUUAACUUUUAGUUUUUGGUGACAUUAAUUAAUGAUUGAUUGAUCCGUUAAUGACGAUUGGAAAAUUAAGUUACUUUAGGGAUAACAGCGUAAUUUUUUUGGAGAGUUCUUAUCGAUAAAAGUGAUUGCGACCUCGAUGUUGGAUUAAGAGAUAGGUUUGGGUGUAGCAGCUUGAAUUCUAAGUCUGUUCGACUUUUAAUUUCUUACAUGA
Molecule: ribosomal RNA, 534 nt
Filed under: Gasterophilus haemorrhoidalis
Lineage: Eukaryota; Metazoa; Arthropoda; Insecta; Diptera; Oestridae
Description: partial 16S ribosomal RNA
Rfam family: Bacterial large subunit ribosomal RNA
Source: RNAcentral